AUGCCCGGCGACGCCUCCUCGCCCACCUCCACGGCCGCCGCGGCGCUGGCGCAGGCGGAGGCCGACCUCUCCGCGGGCCGCCUCCGCGCCGCGCAGAGGAACGCCCGCCGCGCCGCCCGCCUCGACCCGGACUCCGCGGCCGCCUCCGUCCUCCUCGCCGCCACCUCCGUCCUCCUCGCCGACGCCGGCUCCCCCCGCGCCACGCUCCUCCUCCCCGAGGACCCCAAGUCCUCCCUCGCCAGCGACCCGGACUCCAUCCGGCGCCACUACAAGUCCCUCGCCAGAUCCCUCCGCCCCGGCGACGGCGCGUCCUCCUACCCCGCCGCCGCCGCCGCGGCGCAGGAGGCGCUCCGCCGCGCGGCCGACGCGUACGCCGCGCUCAAGGAGGAGCGGGAGGCGCCGCCCCCACCGCCCACCUUCUGGACGGCCUGCGCCGGCUGCCGCCUCCUCCACGAGUUCGACCGCCAGUACGUGGGCUUCCGCCUCACCUGCCCCUCCUGCCGCCGGUCGUUCCUCGCCGCCGAGGUGCCCCCUCCUCCGCCGCCCAAGAAGCACAAGCCGGAGAAGACGCUCGCGGAGAUGCAGCUCCAGCUCGCCAAGAGAAGAGGGAAAGACCAGACGGCCGCACAGAGCUCAUCCAGUGACGAAUAUGACGAGCCGGCGGAACCCGAUGUGCCGGAGGAGGUGCUGGAUAGCGAGCACUCAGGGCAGAUGGCUGUGGAGGACUCAGACUUCUACAACUUCGACGCUGACCGCAUGGAGAAGUGCUUCAAGAGAGGCCAGGUGUGGGCAUUGUAUGGGGACGACGAUGGCAUGCCGCGGCACUAUGCGCAGUUGGAGACGGCAUCGCCGGGCAGGCAGUUCCGUGCCCAGAUACGGUGGCUGGAGCACCAGCCUGACGGGAAGGAGGGGAAGCCAUGUGGGGCGUUCAAGGUUGGCAGAGAAGUGACCGUGCACUCGGUGAACGUCUUCUCGCAUCUUGUUGCCUGCGAGAGGGUGGCGAGGGAGGCGUACCGCGUUUACCCCAAAAAGGGGUCAGUCUGGGCGCUCCAUGCCGGAGAGUACGCCGACACCGGGAGGCCCAGGUAUGACUUUGUGGUGUUCCUCAGCGGGUACAGUGAGGUCCACGGCAUCAGCUUCGGCUACCUGGAGAAGAUUGAGGGUUUCAGGAGCAUCUUCACCCGCAGCGACAUUGGUGUUCGUGCAGUUCAGUACCUCCGGGAGGGUGAUGUGGGGAUGCUUUCACAUCAGACUCCGGCGAGGAAAGUCUCCAAGGGUGAGGCCUCGACUCUGCCUCCUGGGGAUUGCUGGGAGCUUGACCCUGCAUCCUUGCCUGCUGAAUUGCUGCAUGCCUAG
Molecule: ribosomal RNA, 1356 nt
Filed under: Triticum aestivum (bread wheat)
Lineage: Eukaryota; Viridiplantae; Streptophyta; Magnoliopsida; Poales; Poaceae
Description: partial small subunit ribosomal RNA
Source: RNAcentral